CUUGGGUGACGUGGUCCUCACGUGAGCCGGAGCCGACGUUUGCAGACGCCCUUCUAAUCCUGAUCCUGGUUUGGUCCGGUUACUAGCUCCUUUUUGCCCCGAGGGCAGGCGGGCGGUGGCCAGGGAAGGAGGAGGAGGAGGUUACUGCCCGGAUCCCAGCAGCUUUGCAGGACGCAGUGGAUUUCCAGGCAAGGGAGAGAAGGAAGAAACUGCCUGGACCUGCACCGGUGUAUGUCAGGAUGCUGCUACCCCAGGACAUCUGAAGGGGUAGGGGAGGUACGGAACUGAUCAGAGACCUUAAAUUUAACGUGCGGGAGUGG
This 320-nucleotide long non-coding RNA is filed under the name Canis lupus dingo (dingo). RNAcentral describes it as "lncRNA (ENSCAFG00020007362.1)". The record is from RNAcentral. Lineage: Eukaryota; Metazoa; Chordata; Mammalia; Carnivora; Canidae.